CACAUCGACCAAAUAGUAUUCAAAUCAGUCCAUGGUUCGUUGUCGUUUCCUGGCGCUGCAUUUGUCAAACGCUGCGGAAUAAAUGAACCGCAACGACAAUGCCGAUUUGUAUCUCAUGGAUACUGCAGCAAUAACAAUAACAACAACAACAACAACAACAACAACAACAGCAGCAGCAACAACAACUAUAACUAUACAUAAGGCUUGGCCUCAGCCCCAGCCCCAGCCGCAGCGCCAGCUCGUUUUCCAGGUGUGAGCGACCCACGUGGCCGCAGCUCGAGCUGAAACUGGGCAACUGGUCAACUUGUGUUGGGCUGCAUAGUGUUGUGCGAUGCAGUCGCUGUCCAUAAAUCUCGGCUUUUGUGCACCAGCCACGUUCGUUAGUGACGCUUUUUUUUCGCGAUUUGCCAAUAUUUGACAGGGGUAUCUCAAUAGCCCCGCCGAGAUUUACCAACAUUUAUCUAUGGCCAAGGCCCGCAAAGAUAUCGUUCUGUCCAAUUCAAUUGUGGCGUCGCGUCGUGCAGGCAUGCGCCCAGAAUUAAUGGCAUAUCCCUAGGGUUCGAUUAAAAUUCUAUCAAUAUAGCACAUUGGAAAUGGGUUAGGUCUCUGUAUUCGUGCUGUUAUUCGAAACGUUCGAUCGCAAUACGGACUUUAGCUGAAAAAACAAUCAAAUGAUUCGCGAGACAAAUCAAUUUGAUGUAAACAAAUAUGAAACCACAGCACAUUUAUCCCAUUAUACAAACAAUGUUCUUGUAAUUUGAUAUUGCACCAAUGCAGUAACUUUUAGUUAUAAUUUGCUAAUCGCAGUAAUUUAAAGAAACCUUAAACAUUAUUAUCAGAAAACUAAUAUGCUGUUGUUAAUAGGCAGAUGAAAGCGCUCGCUGAAUUAAAUUAUCCAAUGAUUUUAUUUACUGCAUGCGUUUACUUUUGCCUGUGUCUAACCAUAAACAAAUAAAUUCUUUUGUUUACAAAUGAUAUUCUAUUCGAAAAUGUUAAAGUA
Molecule: non-coding RNA, 1000 nt
Organism: Drosophila virilis
Lineage: Eukaryota; Metazoa; Arthropoda; Insecta; Diptera; Drosophilidae
Source: RefSeq, a predicted model, not a curated record